Molecule: ribosomal RNA, 254 nt
Filed under: uncultured bacterium
Lineage: Bacteria
Description: partial 16S ribosomal RNA
Rfam family: Bacterial small subunit ribosomal RNA
Source: RNAcentral
CACGUAGGGUGCGAGCGUUGUCCGGAAUUAUUGGGCGUAAAGAGCUCGUAGGCGGUGUGUCGCGUCGGCCGUGAAAACCUGCAGCUUAACUGUGGGCGUGCGGUCGAUACGGGCAUCACUGGAGUUCGGCAGGGGAGACUGGAAUUCCUGGUGUAGCGGUGAAAUGCGCAGAUAUCAGGAGGAACACCGGUGGCGAAGGCGGGGCUCUGGGCCGAUACUGACGCUGAGGAGCGAAAGCGUGGGGAGCAAACAGG